Molecule: ribosomal RNA, 253 nt
Filed under: uncultured bacterium
Lineage: Bacteria
Description: partial 16S ribosomal RNA
Rfam family: Bacterial small subunit ribosomal RNA
Source: RNAcentral
UACGUAGGGUGCAAGCGUUGUCCGGAAUUAUUGGGCGUAAAGAGCUCGUAGGCGGUCUGUCGCGUCUGCUGUGAAAAUCCAGGGCUCAACCCUGGACCUGCAGUGGGUACGGGCAGACUAGAGUGCGGUAGGGGAGAUCGGAAUUCCUGGUGUAGCGGUGAAAUGCGCAGAUAUCAGGAGGAACACCGGUGGCGAAGGCGGGUCUCUGGGCAGUAACUGACGCUGAGGAGCGAAAGCGUGGGGAGCGAACAGG